Non-coding RNA from Prunus avium (sweet cherry), 253 nucleotides. NCBI's taxonomy places the organism in Eukaryota, Viridiplantae, Streptophyta, Magnoliopsida, Rosales, Rosaceae. The record is from RefSeq and is a predicted model, not a curated record.
UCUCUCUUUCUUUUCUUCUUCUUCUUUCUCUCCACCAGAUUCCUUAUAGCAAACACAUCCAAAUUUCUCUCUGCUCCCUAAACCACAAAAGUUACGACUUGAUCUUCUCUGGUUGAGUUUUUCAAUUGGGUGAUUUUUUUGUGCGUAGGGUGGGAAUGUGCCUUUGUCUGAAAUGUUGGGUACAUUUGCUCUAUCUGUUGGUGCUGCUGUGGGAAUGGAGUUUUGGGCAAGAUGGGCUCAUAAAGCUCUCUGG